Molecule: ribosomal RNA, 410 nt
Filed under: Anaerobranca californiensis DSM 14826
Lineage: Bacteria; Bacillati; Bacillota; Clostridia; Eubacteriales; Proteinivoracaceae
Description: bacterial SSU rRNA
Rfam family: Bacterial small subunit ribosomal RNA
Source: RNAcentral
GGGGCAGAGAGACAGGUGGUGCAUGGUUGUCGUCAGCUCGUGUCGUGAGAUGUUGGGUUAAGUCCCGCAACGAGCGCAACCCUUAUACUUAGUUGCUAACAGGUAAGCUGAGCACUCUAAGUAGACUGCCGGUGACAAACCGGAGGAAGGUGGGGAUGACGUCAAAUCAUCAUGCCCCUUAUGUCCUGGGCUACACACGUGCUACAAUGGCCUGAACAGAGGGCAGCGAAGGAGUGAUCCGGAGCAAAUCCCUAAAAACAGGUCUCAGUUCGGAUUGUAGGCUGCAACUCGCCUACAUGAAGUCGGAGUUGCUAGUAAUCGCGAAUCAGCACGUCGCGGUGAAUACGUUCCCGGGCCUUGUACACACCGCCCGUCACACCACGAAAGUCUGCAACACCCGAAGCCGGUGG